This is a non-coding RNA of Caenorhabditis elegans, 127 nucleotides long. The record is from Ensembl. Lineage: Eukaryota; Metazoa; Nematoda; Chromadorea; Rhabditida; Rhabditidae.
GAUCGAAUGACAAGAAAAAUGAGCUUUUCGAGCACACCUUAACCCAAUCGAUCAGUCGCCACUUGAGAGUAUGUUCUUCAAGUACUCGACUCUCAUUACCGCCUUCGUUCGACCGAAGCCUGUUUAC